Camelus dromedarius (Arabian camel) is the source of this 291-nucleotide long non-coding RNA. RefSeq lists it as uncharacterized. The transcript has 3 exons. The record is from RefSeq and is a predicted model, not a curated record. NCBI's taxonomy places the organism in Eukaryota, Metazoa, Chordata, Mammalia, Artiodactyla, Camelidae.
AACACUGGAGCCCAUUCUUCUUACCUGUCCUGAAAGGUACAAAAAAAGAAACCCGAAAGACAGUGAAGACUGACAAACACAUGCAAGGAUGAAAGACUGGAAGCAUUCCUUGAAAGAAAACAGUUUGCUUGUUUGCUGUUAUCCAAAAGGGACUGGCCAAGACGGUGGAGCAGAAAGACAGACCCUGAGAUCACCUCCUCCCAUGAGCACACCAAAAUUACAACUAUUUGCAAAGCAACAAUUAGUGAAAAAGAUCGGAACCUACCAGAAAAGAUCUAUAACUAAAGAUAC